CGCGUAGGCGGUUUUUAAGUGAGGCGUGAAAGCCCUGGGCUUAACCCAGGAGGUGCGUUUCAGACUGAAAAGCUUGAGGGCGAGAGAGGAAAGUGGAAUUCCUAGUGUAGAGGUGAAAUUCGUAGAUAUUAGGAAGAACACCAGUGGCGAAGGCGACUUUCUGGCUCGCACCUGACGCUGAGGCGCGAAAGCGUGGGGAGGCAAAACA
Molecule: ribosomal RNA, 208 nt
Filed under: uncultured bacterium
Lineage: Bacteria
Description: partial 16S ribosomal RNA
Rfam family: Bacterial small subunit ribosomal RNA
Source: RNAcentral